Molecule: ribosomal RNA, 530 nt
Filed under: Botryosphaeria dothidea
Lineage: Eukaryota; Fungi; Ascomycota; Dothideomycetes; Botryosphaeriales; Botryosphaeriaceae
Description: eukaryotic LSU rRNA
Rfam family: 5.8S ribosomal RNA (bases 158-311)
Source: RNAcentral
CGAUCCUCCCACCCUUUGUGUACCUACCUCUGUUGCUUUGGCGGGCCGCGGUCCUCCGCGGCCGCCCCCCUCCCCGGGGGGGUGGCCAGCGCCCGCCAGAGGACCAUCAAACUCCAGUCAGUAAACGAUGCAGUCUGAAAAACAUUUAAUAAACUAAAACUUUCAACAACGGAUCUCUUGGUUCUGGCAUCGAUGAAGAACGCAGCGAAAUGCGAUAAGUAAUGUGAAUUGCAGAAUUCAGUGAAUCAUCGAAUCUUUGAACGCACAUUGCGCCCUUUGGUAUUCCGAAGGGCAUGCCUGUUCGAGCGUCAUUACAACCCUCAAGCUCUGCUUGGUAUUGGGCACCGUCCUUUGCGGGCGCGCCUCAAAGACCUCGGCGGUGGCGUCUUGCCUCAAGCGUAGUAGAACAUACAUCUCGCUUCGGAGCGCAGGGCGUCGCCCGCCGGACGAACCUUCUGAACUUUCUCAAGGUUGACCUCGGAUCAGGUAGGGAUACCCGCUGAACUUAAGCAUAUCAAAAGGCGGGAGGA